CCAAAAGAAAACACAUUUCUGUUUGUGCAAUAACAGCAGAUGGAGGAUUGUCAUGGAGCCUGCAAGAUGAGAAUAGUCUAGCAAGAGUACUUAGAGACGAGGCCAAGACUUCUUUGAAAGGUCCCAUGAAAGAGCCCCAGCAGAGAACAGCAAACACACACCAGCUACAGCUCAGGACUAGCACAUGACUCGGAAGAAGUCAGGACUAGAAAGGUCCUCCCACUGCACAUUCUGAAUUAGCAGUAAUUAGAAAUGGCAAUCUUUAUGCUGAUGCAGUCCCCAAGCACUAGGACCAGAUGCACUGAACACUUGCAGCUCUGAGACCACCUGCCAGGGACAACGUAGAGCUAUCAUUUGCUGAACAUGGCAAGGGCACCUGCUUGAUAAGAUGCACUUCCUGCAUAACAAGUUCACUGCACCACGUUCCCUAAAGCAUUAAAUAACACCAUGAUCUUCAAAUCUACUAUUAAUUUUUCAUGCAGAUUGUCAAAUUUGUGUGUGAUUGUGCAAGUGUGAGAACGCUAUGAGUAAGUGUGAA
RNAcentral lists this long non-coding RNA (538 nucleotides) under Cyanistes caeruleus (blue tit). RNAcentral's name for it is "lncRNA (ENSCCEG00000002370.1)". The record is from RNAcentral. Lineage: Eukaryota; Metazoa; Chordata; Aves; Passeriformes; Paridae.